UAGGUGAACCUGCGGAAGGAUCAUUAUCGUACAACGGAGGUGUGAGGGCUGUCGCUGACCUUCAAAGGUUGUGCACGCCCAAGCACUCUCUCACAUCCAUUUCACCCCCAUUUGUGCAUCACCGCGUGGGCCCCCUCUUUGCGGAGAGGGCUUGCGUUUUCACAUAAAACUUUUGAUACGGUGUAGAAUGUCUUUUUUUUGCUUGCGGUCACACGCAAUCAAUACAACUUUCAACAACGGAUCUCUUGGCUCUCGCAUCGAUGAAGAACGCAGCGAAAUGCGAUACGUAAUGUGAAUUGCAGAAUUCAGUGAAUCAUCGAAUCUUUGAACGCACCUUGCGCCCCUUGGCAUUCCGAGGGGCACACCCGUUUGAGUGUCGUGAAAUUCUCAAAACCCUUUUCUUUGAUGGGAAGAGGAUUUUGGACUUGGAGGCUUGAUGCUUGCUUUCGCUCUUGAAAGUGAGCUCCUCUCAAAUGAAUUAGUGGGGUCUGCUUUGCUGGUCCUUGACGUGAUAAGAUGUUUCGACGUUUUGGACUUUGGCACUGUCUCUUGGAUGCCUGCUUCAAACCGUCCAUAUCAUGGACAACGAUGGUGCUUUGGUCUCCUCCAUCCACAUUGGUGGGAGGCUGGACCCACAAAAAAACCUUGACCUCAAAUCGGGUGAGACUACCCGCUG
This 676-nucleotide ribosomal RNA is filed under the name uncultured fungus. RNAcentral's name for it is "eukaryotic LSU rRNA". The stretch from base 226 to 379 matches the Rfam family "5.8S ribosomal RNA". Lineage: Eukaryota; Fungi. The record is from RNAcentral.